UGUCAGUGGUCACGUAUUCUCCUUAUACUCUCUUCAUCCCUUUUUUGAAACAAUUCAAAGCCCUUCUCAAGCUCACCCUAACACAUGGAAUGCAAGUGUUGUCAGGUUUAUUGAUUCAUUUAGCGACAUCAACACCUACUNCAUUCAGACAUAGAGAACAUACCUCGACGCAAUGGUCUCCCAAUAGCUUCCGUUGACGAAGACAGGAACCCUCACGUCACGGGAGCACCCUCUUGACAGAAACGCCACACGCCGUGAUGUUAACGGACCACCCGCUGAUAGCAACGCCAACACACUGGUGGAACAAACACUUGAACACCACUACGGGGAAGGUUUGCCAAGUGAACCCUAACCACCCAAUGCCACCGGACAGACGGGAAAGGGAGAGGAAGAUAAUGGGAAGCACAAUGGUAGUUCAAUUGGGGACGGGAAUGGAGAGGGAGAGAACGGGGUGCACCACGCAAAAUUGGGGAUUGUCUUACGAAAUUGGGGACGACCUUCUACAAUACCCCCAAUUAUUCAGUUUAAGGAGUCUAGCCUCUUACCGAAGGCCAUAAACCCCUCGGUAAUGCUCUCGAGGCCUUCGGUAAAUACAUUUCAUCAUGCCCCUCGGUAAUUCUCAUUGUGACCGUCGAAAAACAAUAUUUACCGAGGGCCCCAAGGCCUUUGGUAAAAAACCUUCGGUAAUCAGCGAAAUUCUUGU
RNAcentral lists this long non-coding RNA (703 nucleotides) under Vigna radiata. Its description in RNAcentral is "long non-coding RNA (VRAD_LNC006523)". Lineage: Eukaryota; Viridiplantae; Streptophyta; Magnoliopsida; Fabales; Fabaceae. The record is from RNAcentral.